Molecule: ribosomal RNA, 348 nt
Filed under: uncultured delta proteobacterium
Lineage: Bacteria; Deltaproteobacteria
Description: bacterial SSU rRNA
Rfam family: Bacterial small subunit ribosomal RNA
Source: RNAcentral
GGAAUUAUUGGGCGUAAAGGGCGCGUAGGCGGUCUUGUCGGUCAGAUGUGAAAGCCCAGGGCUCAACCCUGGACGUGCAUUUGAAACAGCAAGACUUGAGUACGGGAGAGGAAAGCGGAAUUCCUGGUGUAGAGGUGAAAUUCGUAGAUAUCAGGAGGAACACCGAUGGCGAAGGCAGCUUUCUGGACCGAUACUGACGCUGAGGCGCGGAGGUGUGGGUAGCGAACGGGAUUAGAUACCCCGGUAGUCCACACAGUAAACGAUGUUCACUAGGUGUAUCGGAUAUUAAAAUCUGAUGUGCCCAAGCUAACGCAUUAAGUGAACCGCCUGGGGAGUACGGUCGCAAGA